Molecule: ribosomal RNA, 253 nt
Filed under: uncultured bacterium
Lineage: Bacteria
Description: partial 16S ribosomal RNA
Rfam family: Bacterial small subunit ribosomal RNA
Source: RNAcentral
UACAGAGGUCCCAAGCGUUGUUCGGAUUCACUGGGCGUAAAGGGUGCGUAGGUGGUGAGGUAAGUCGGAUGUGAAAUCUCCAAGCUCAACUUGGAAACUGCAUUGGAAACUACCUUGCUAGAGGAUUUGAGGGGGGAUUGGAAUACUUGGUGUAGCAGUGAAAUGCGCAGAUAUCAAGUGGAACACCAGUGGCGAAGGCGAAUCCCUGGAAAAUACCUGACACUGAGGCACGAAAGCUAGGGGAGCAAACAGG